Molecule: small nuclear RNA, 23 nt
Filed under: Arabidopsis thaliana (thale cress)
Lineage: Eukaryota; Viridiplantae; Streptophyta; Magnoliopsida; Brassicales; Brassicaceae
Description: snRNA_01423
Source: RNAcentral
UAUUGGCAUUUGGCAGGAUACUG